This 457-nucleotide ribosomal RNA is filed under the name uncultured bacterium. RNAcentral's name for it is "bacterial SSU rRNA". It matches the Rfam family "Bacterial small subunit ribosomal RNA", at positions 340 to 789 of the family's 1533-position model. The record is from RNAcentral.
UACGGAAGGCAGCAGUGGGGAAUAUUGCACAAUGGGCGCAAGCCUGAUGCAGCCAUGCCGCGUGUAUGAAAAAGGCCUUCGGGUUGUAAAGUACUUUCAGUCGUGAGGAAGGUGUUAAGGUUAAUAACCUUAGCAAUUGACGUUAGCGACAGAAGAAGCACCGGCUAACUCCGUGCCAGCAGCCGCGGUAAUACGGAGGGUGCGAGCGUUAAUCGGAAUUACUGGGCGUAAAGGGCACGCAGGCGGUUAAUUAAGUUGGAUGUGAAAUCCCCGGGCUUAACCUGGGAAUGGCAUUCAAGACUGGUUAGCUAGAGUCUUGUAGAGGGGGUAGAAUUCCAUGUGUAGCGGUGAAAUGCGUAGAGAUGUGGAGGAAUACCGGUGGCGAAGGCGGCCCCUGGACAAAGACUGACGCUCGAUGUGCGAAAGCGUGGGGAGCAAACAGGGAUUAGAUACCCGU